This 301-nucleotide ribosomal RNA is filed under the name uncultured bacterium. RNAcentral's name for it is "partial 16S ribosomal RNA". It matches the Rfam family "Bacterial small subunit ribosomal RNA", at positions 509 to 808 of the family's 1533-position model. The record is from RNAcentral.
CAGUAGCCGCGGUAAUACGAAGGGGGCUAGCGUUGUUCGGAUUUACUGGGCGUAAAGCGCACGUAGGCGGACUUUUAAGUCAGGGGUGAAAUCCCGGGGCUCAACCCCGGAACUGCCUUUGAUACUGGAAGUCUUGAGUAUGGUAGAGGUGAGUGGAAUUCCGAGUGUAGAGGUGAAAUUCGUAGAUAUUCGGAGGAACACCAGUGGCGAAGGCGGCUCACUGGACCAUUACUGACGCUGAGGUGCGAAAGCGUGGGGAGCAAACAGGAUUAGAGACCCCAGUAGUCCCUGUCUCUAUACA